GGACUGAGACACGGCCCAGACUCCUACGGGAGGCAGCAGUGGGGAAUUUUGGACAAUGGGGGCAACCCUCAUCCAGCCAUGCCGCGUGAGUGAAGAAGGCCUUCGGGUUGUAAAGCUCUUUCAGCCGGAACGAAACGGUCACGGUUAAUAACUGUGAUCACUGACGGUACCGGAAGAAGAAGCACCGGCCAACUACGUGCCAGCACCCGCGGUAAUACGUAGGGUGCGAGCGUUAAUCGGAAUUACUGGGCGUAAAGCGUGCGCAGGCGGUUUUGUAAGUCAGAUGUGAAAUCCCCGGGCUUAACCUGGGAACUGCGUUUGAAACUACAAGGCUAGAGUGUGGCAGAGGGGGGUGGAAUUCCACGUGUAGCAGUGAAAUGCGUAGAGAUGUGGAGGAACACCGAUGGCGAAGGCAGCCCCCUGGGUUAACACUGACGCUCAGGCACGAAAGCGUGGGGAGCAAACAGGAUUAGAUACCCUGGUAGUCCACGCCCUAAACGAUGUCAACUAGUGUCGGGCCUUAACGGGCUUGGUAACGCAGCUAACGCG
Molecule: ribosomal RNA, 549 nt
Filed under: uncultured Nitrosospira sp.
Lineage: Bacteria; Pseudomonadati; Pseudomonadota; Betaproteobacteria; Nitrosomonadales; Nitrosomonadaceae
Description: bacterial SSU rRNA
Rfam family: Bacterial small subunit ribosomal RNA
Source: RNAcentral